Patella vulgata (common limpet) is the source of this 1621-nucleotide long non-coding RNA. RefSeq lists it as uncharacterized. Lineage: Eukaryota; Metazoa; Mollusca; Gastropoda; Patellidae. The transcript has 5 exons. The record is from RefSeq and is a predicted model, not a curated record.
UUUCAUUUUAUAAGUUUUAAUUUGUAACAAUGAAUCGUUUUAUAAAGUUUGUGAUUUUGAUUCAGAUGGGAAUAAACAUCGUCAACUCUUACACUGGUAUAGAAUACAUGAACACAAACUGUGGAGAAACCGUUUAUGUAUUUGAUUCUAAAAUCAUCAAACUGCAGCCAUAUAUGAUCGACUACAUGGAUGACGAUUGUGAAGUUACCGUAAAAGUUCUUGGUUCAUCGGAAAUCCAGUUAUCUUUUGUAGAUUUUUACGUUCCGUGUGAUGAGGGAUCAGUGGUAAUCGGCGGAUACAGUUAUGGUCACGUGGAGACAGAAACGUGUAGUCGGACAAAACCUACACAGACUUACAAAUCUUUUGGCGAUUCUUUGACCAUCAAAUUUAAGAAAGAAGAUGACGUUAGCGCCCCAACGGCUCAUUUUCAGAUUCUGGCGACUGAGAUGCACACUGGAUUGUGUGCCAGUUAUGAGUUUGAGUGUAAUAAUUAUAAUUGCAUAGACAAAUACAAUCUAGCAUGUGAUGGUUACGACAACUGCGGGGACAACUCGGAUGAAGUUAAAGGUUGUAUUUUAGAACCCGGCGCUAUAGCUGGGAUAGUUAUAGGAUCAUUGGCGUUCCUGUUUUUGGUUUUCAUCAUAUCAGUCGCCAUAUGUAGAAAGAAGCGAUACGGAUCUGUUUUAUAUACUAACGGGCCAACAGCAGCUGUCCAUGUCAACACGAAUCAGGGGAUCGCUCAGCCUUACUUCAUACAGCCGCCUACAUCAUAUCCCCUCUCCCCUCCUCAGUACACCCAACAACCCCCACAAUAUUCACAGGAAACCCCACAAUACAGCACACAACCAACAGCAUCGUCGACAACACAGUGCCCGCCACCAGCUUAUGAAUUUUCUAGAUUCCCCACAAAAAGCUAAAGAGUCAUAUCAGCAUACGACCGACGUUGCUGGAAAAUUAUCGUGUUUGUAAGGAAAUAUAUUUAGUUGCUUAUAAUUACACCAGAAAAAUGAACUUGUAAAUCUAAUAACUUGCAAAUUAAUGCCAACAUAUGAUGCAAUUAAACAUUAGGAGAUUACAGCCAUCUGUAUUGUUUUAAGAUGGCAAAAAUAUUGGUAUUCAAAUAUUGGAUACUUUAAGAUAAUUGACAUCAUUUGAUCACUUUUUAUUUGUAUAUACUAAUUAGCAACCAUAUUACAUUAAAUUAGAAAUUAACAAAAUAUUGUGAAAAUGAGUUAUUAAACACCAGCCAGCAGUCUUGUGUUGUUAUACGCCCUCACAAUGCACACGUAUAUUGCGAAAUCUUUACAUGACCGGACCAUAGAAAAUAUAUAUUACGCUGAUCUACCCAUUUACAUUCCACCCAAUACACCCUCGUAGACGAAAUAGGCCAUGGGAAAUAUUGACACUUGCCUGAAUAGUUAGUCCGUUGGUGCGUACUGGAGAACACUACCGAAAUUCGUUUGGAUAUCAUAUCCCAAACACAGACAAAUAAGGUUGGGAUUUUAUUAGUUCUCGAUGCGCGGACGACUUAUUCUGUUGGUUACUAUAUAAGGGGUUACACAUUUUAUUUUUAUUUUUAUAAACAUUGUACGGUCUACAAUCACAAAUAUAUAAGGUACAA